This 253-nucleotide ribosomal RNA is filed under the name uncultured bacterium. RNAcentral's name for it is "partial 16S ribosomal RNA". It matches the Rfam family "Bacterial small subunit ribosomal RNA", at positions 524 to 776 of the family's 1533-position model. The record is from RNAcentral.
UACGUAGGGGGCAAGCGUUGUCCGGAUUCAUUGGGCGUAAAGCGCGUGUAGGCGGCUUGGCAAGUCCGCUGUGAAAACUCGAGGCUCAACCUCGAGAUGUCGGUGGAAACUGCCUGGCUAGAGUACGGAAGAGGAGUGUGGAAUUCCUGGUGUAGCGGUGAAAUGCGCAGAUAUCAGGAAGAACACCUAUGGCGAAGGCAGCACUCUGGGACGGUACUGACGCUGAGACGCGAAAGCGUGGGGAGCGAACAGG